Molecule: ribosomal RNA, 465 nt
Filed under: uncultured bacterium
Lineage: Bacteria
Description: partial 16S ribosomal RNA
Rfam family: Bacterial small subunit ribosomal RNA
Source: RNAcentral
CUACGGGGGGCUGCAGUGGGGAAUAUUGGACAAUGGGGGAAACCCUGAUCCAGCAAUGCCGCGUGUGUGAAGAAGGCCUGCGGGUUGUAAAGCACUUUCGGUUGGGAGGACUGCUUCUAGCACUAAUAUUGUUGGAAGUUGACGUUACCUUCAGAAGAAGCACCGGCUAACUCCGUGCCAGCAGCCGCGGUAAUAAGGAGGGUGCAGGCGUUAAUCGGAAUUCCUGGGCGUAAAGCGCGCGUAGGCGGCUAGAUCAGUCGGGUGUGAAAGCCCCGGGCUUAACCUGGGAACUGCAUCCGAUACUGUCUAGCUUGAGUACAGGAGGGGAGAGUGGAAUUCCACAUGUAGCGGUGAAAUGCGUAGAUAUGUGGAGGAACACCAAUGGCGAAGGCAGCUCUCUGGCCUGAUACUGACGCUGAGGUGCGAAAGCGUGGGGAGCAAACAGGAUUAGAUACCCUCGUAGUC